Non-coding RNA from Nomascus leucogenys (northern white-cheeked gibbon), 1259 nucleotides. Lineage: Eukaryota; Metazoa; Chordata; Mammalia; Primates; Hylobatidae. The record is from the annotation of a RefSeq genome assembly.
CAGUCAUCCCUCCUCGCUGGUGAAUGGAGGCAGUGGUCACAACUCUCCCCAGAGAAGGUGGUGUGAGGCCAUUACGGAAGAUGCUGCUGCUUCUGGUGCUUCUGGGGCCAGGUUCCGGGCUUGGUGCUGUCGUCUCUCAACAUCCGAGCAGGGUUAUCUGUAAGAGUGGAACCUCUGUGAAGAUCGAGUGCCGUUCCCUGGACUUUCAGGCCACAACUAUGUUUUGGUAUCGUCAGUUCCCGAAACAGAGCCUCAUGCUGAUGGCAACUUCCAAUGAGGGCUCCACAGUCACAUAUGAGCAAGGCGUCAAGAAGGGCAAGUUUCCCAUCAACCAUCCAAACUUGACCUUCUCCACUCUGACAGUCACCAGUGCCCAUCCUGAAGACAGCAGCUUCUACAUCUGCAGUGCUAGAGACAGAAAGCGGGGUUUGCGCCAGGGUCCCCAGGGCUGUGCGAACACCGGGGAGCUGUUUUUUGGAGAAGGCUCUAGGCUGACCGUACUAGAGGACCUGAGAAACGUGUUCCCACCCAAGGUCGCUGUGUUUGAGCCAUCAGAAGCAGAGAUCUCCCACACCCAAAAGGCCACGCUGGUGUGCCUGGCCACAGGCUUCUACCCCGACCACGUGGAGCUGAGCUGGUGGGUGAACGGGAAGGAGGUGCACAGUGGGGUCAGCACAGACCCGCAGCCGCUCAAGGAGCAGCCCGCCCUCAAUAACUCCAGAUACAGCCUGAGCAGCCGCCUAAGGGUCUCGGCCACCUUCUGGCAGAACCCCCGCAACCGCUUCCGCUGUCAAGUCCAGUUCUACGGGCUCUCGGAGAAUGACGAGUGGAACGAGGCCAGGGACAGGCCCAUCACCCAGAACGUCAGCGCUGAGGCCUGGGGUAGAGCCGACUGUGGCUUCACCUCCGAGUCUUACCAGCAAGGGGUCCUGUCUGCCACCAUCCUCUAUGAGAUCUUGCUAGGGAAGGCCACCUUGUAUGCUGUGCUGGUCAGUGCCCUCGUGCUGAUGGCCAUGGUGAAGAGAAAGGAUUCCUGAGGCUAGCUCCAAAACCAUCCCGGGUCAUUCUUCAUCCUCACCCAGGAUCCUCCUGUACCUGCUCCCAAUCUGUGUUCCUAAAAGUGAUUCUCUCUUUGCUUCUCAUCUCCUACUUACAUGAAUACUUCCCUCUUUUUUCUGUUUACCUGAAGACUGAGCUCCCAACCCCCAAGUAUGAAAUAGACUAAACCAAUAAAAAAUGGUGUGUUCGGCCUGGUUGCA